Molecule: ribosomal RNA, 468 nt
Filed under: uncultured bacterium
Lineage: Bacteria
Description: partial 16S ribosomal RNA
Rfam family: Bacterial small subunit ribosomal RNA
Source: RNAcentral
GACGAACGCUGGCGGCGUGCUUAACACAUGCAAGUCGAACGGAAAGGCCCUGCUUUUGUGGGGUGCUCGAGUGGCGAACGGGUGAGUAACACGUGAGUAACCUGCCCUUGACUUUGGGAUAACUUCAGGAAACUGGGGCUAAUACCGGAUAGGAGCUCCUGCUGCAUGGUGGGGGUUGGAAAGUUUCGGCGGUUGGGGAUGGACUCGCGGCUUAUCAGCUUGUUGGUGGGGUAGUGGCUUACCAAGGCUUUGACGGGUAGCCGGCCUGAGAGGGUGACCGGCCACAUUGGGACUGCGAUACGGCCCAGACUCCUACGGGAGGCAGCAGUGGGGAAUAUUGCACAAUGGGCGGAAGCCUGAUGCAGCAACGCCGCGUGCGGGAUGACGGCCUUCGGGUUGUAAACCGCUUUCGCCUGUGACGAAGCGUGAGUGGCGGUAAUGGGUAAAGAAGCACCGGCUAACUACGUG